Long non-coding RNA from Cyanistes caeruleus (blue tit), 516 nucleotides. RefSeq lists it as uncharacterized. The record is from RefSeq and is a predicted model, not a curated record. Lineage: Eukaryota; Metazoa; Chordata; Aves; Passeriformes; Paridae.
CGGGGAAUCCGGCAUGGAAAGGAGAAAAGAACAAGAAAAUAAGCCCAGUUAGACUAAGCCCCUGUUUUGUCCAUUCCCUUCGAAACUCAGAAUGGACACAUCCUGCUGUGCUGGAUGCUACAGAACAACACAGAAAGCACCAAGGACACUGUGGUUUUGCCACUUUUAAGUAAAAACAUACUUUUCCACGGCCUUUCCCUAGGCAGAAAGACAAACUCCAGAGCUCCAAGCCCUGGGAGGUACAAGGUCCCAACGCUAUCUUGGUUCUUCCUGGGAACCAAGGCCGAGAACAACUCUUGGAGAUACAUUUCAUGGACAAAGUGCACCAAACCAAGGUGGGGUGCUCCAGAGAAGGGGCUUGCAUCACCACUUGUCCUCCUAAUUGGUGCUUUUCAUCAAUCAUGCUAAUUUCAUAUAAAACCUACAAAUGUGUUCUCACCCCCGGGGGUGGGCAUUUGGAGACAUCUUCCCAUAACUGCUCCUGAAGGCCUUCAUUAAAGAUCCCCUUUUAUAUUA